UACGAAGGGUGCAAGCGUUAUUCGGAAUAAUUGGGCGUAAAGGGUGCGCAGGCCGUUUGUUAAGUCAACUGUUAAAUUCUUCAGCCUAACUGGGGGUCUGCGGUAGAUACUGGCAAACUAGAGCAUGGAAGAGAGAAGUGGAAUUCUCGGAGUAGCGGUAAAAUGCGUAGAUCUCGAGAGGAACACCAAUGGCGAAGGCAGCUUCUUGGUCCAUUGCUGACGCUCAAGCACGAAAGCGUGGGGAGCAAACAGG
Molecule: ribosomal RNA, 253 nt
Filed under: uncultured bacterium
Lineage: Bacteria
Description: partial 16S ribosomal RNA
Rfam family: Bacterial small subunit ribosomal RNA
Source: RNAcentral